UACGUAGGGUGCAAGCGUUGUCCGGAAUUAUUGGGCGUAAAGAGCUCGUAGGCGGUUCGUCGCGUCGGCUGUGAAAUCCCGAGGCUCAACCUCGGAUCUGCAGUCGAUACGGGCGGACUGGAGUUCGGCAGGGGAGACUGGAAUUCCUGGUGUAGCGGUGAAAUGCGCAGAUAUCAGGAGGAACACCGGUGGCGAAGGCGGGUCUCUGGGCCGAUACUGACGCUGAGGAGCGAAAGCGUGGGGAGCGAACAGG
RNAcentral lists this ribosomal RNA (253 nucleotides) under uncultured bacterium. Its description in RNAcentral is "partial 16S ribosomal RNA". It matches the Rfam family "Bacterial small subunit ribosomal RNA", at positions 524 to 776 of the family's 1533-position model. The record is from RNAcentral.